Molecule: long non-coding RNA, 324 nt
Filed under: Dermacentor andersoni
Lineage: Eukaryota; Metazoa; Arthropoda; Arachnida; Ixodida; Ixodidae
Description: uncharacterized LOC126523996
Source: RNAcentral
UAACUGCACUUCUCUCAUACAACCCUUAGAGAAAGGGGUUAUUAAAAGCUUUAAAUGCUGUUACCGCCGUCGAUUGAUACAAAAGGUGCUCCUGGACAUCUGCCUUGAAUGGCCGACAAAAAUGGAUAUCUCCCAAGCAAUCCAAAUGCUUGCUGCGUUGUGGCGAGAGGCCAUUCAAGCUACAGUCCCUGAAGAUGAACCUUCAAGCCCACUGUUGUAUUUAGUUUCGUUAUUCAUUUGAGUUCUUUAUUCCUCAGGGGGCACUUCUGUUCUUCGUUAUAUAUAUGGCUGUAUAUGUUGAAUAAAGGGCUUUUUACAUCGGGA